RNAcentral lists this ribosomal RNA (758 nucleotides) under Vibrio sp. FCH-63. Its description in RNAcentral is "bacterial SSU rRNA". It matches the Rfam family "Bacterial small subunit ribosomal RNA", at positions 45 to 782 of the family's 1533-position model. Lineage: Bacteria; Pseudomonadati; Pseudomonadota; Gammaproteobacteria; Vibrionales; Vibrionaceae. The record is from RNAcentral.
GGCCUAACACAUGCAAGUCGAGCGGAAACGACACUAACAAUCCUUCGGGUGCGUUAAUGGGCGUCGAGCGGCGGACGGGUGAGUAAUGCCUAGGAAAUUGCCUUGAUGUGGGGGAUAACCAUUGGAAACGAUGGCUAAUACCGCAUGAUGCCUACGGGCCAAAGAGGGGGACCUUCGGGCCUCUCGCGUCAAGAUAUGCCUAGGUGGGAUUAGCUAGUUGGUGAGGUAAUGGCUCACCAAGGCGACGAUCCCUAGCUGGUCUGAGAGGAUGAUCAGCCACACUGGAACUGAGACACGGUCCAGACUCCUACGGGAGGCAGCAGUGGGGAAUAUUGCACAAUGGGCGAAAGCCUGAUGCAGCCAUGCCGCGUGUAUGAAGAAGGCCUUCGGGUUGUAAAGUACUUUCAGUUGUGAGGAAGGGUGUGUAGUUAAUAGCUGCGCAUCUUGACGUUAGCAACAGAAGAAGCACCGGCUAACUCCGUGCCAGCAGCCGCGGUAAUACGGAGGGUGCGAGCGUUAAUCGGAAUUACUGGGCGUAAAGCGCAUGCAGGUGGUUCAUUAAGUCAGAUGUGAAAGCCCGGGGCUCAACCUCGGAACUGCAUUUGAAACUGGUGAACUAGAGUACUGUAGAGGGGGGUAGAAUUUCAGGUGUAGCGGUGAAAUGCGUAGAGAUCUGAAGGAAUACCAGUGGCGAAGGCGGUCCCCUGGACAGAUACUGACACUCAGAUGCGAAAGCGUGGGGAGCAUACAGGAUUAGA